This is a long non-coding RNA of Sebastes umbrosus (honeycomb rockfish), 5798 nucleotides long. RefSeq lists it as uncharacterized. The transcript has 20 exons. NCBI's taxonomy places the organism in Eukaryota, Metazoa, Chordata, Actinopteri, Perciformes, Sebastidae. The record is from RefSeq and is a predicted model, not a curated record.
UUUUCAAAGUUAGGAACUUGUCUCAAGACGCUCUAACGUUACCUAGUAACGGUAGUUAGCUUAAAUGCUAGCGUUAGCUAACGUUAGCUUAAUUGACGCCAACGUCACACCAAACCGUUAGCUACCGUUAUUACCGUUAUUACCUGUUGAGUCCACGUUUGUGAAAAGGUUUAAGCCGGAAGGAGACACUUAACAGACUUCAGGGGGGACAGACUUCAACGUAACACCGAAACAGGCCUAGGAGGAUCCUUAUGAUUCAGCUGUAAAUGAGAAGCCAUGGUCGUCAGCUCCUUUGGGAAUCUCCACCCCUUUGAAAAGAAAAUAGAGGUUAAAAAUCUGCUAAACGAGUUAGCAGCAACCAGGAUCCUUCUCGUCCACAGGAGGAGGCAGGCGUUCCACAAGGCAUUAAUGGGAACUGCUGUCAGUGUGAGAGGAAGCUUGUUUGCAUUUUACUCAGCCGGCAGAAUACAAGAGAAAACAGGCCUGUGUGGUAUCACAUGUGGAGGCGGCUGAACGGGUCAAAACUGUCUACAUGGAUGAGCUCAAAGGUCAGAGUGGCCUCAUGAAGGUCUCACAGGAGUCUGACGGCUUCAUCGGAGGAGGAGGAGCCACUGACUCAGAUCUCAAAACUGCCCUUGUGCAGGGAGACGAUUUCUCAUCAGGCACCAGCAGCCGGAGCACCAAGCUCAUUCACGGAGGAGUCCGAUAUCUACAGAAAGCCAUCAUGAAAUUGGAUUACAAACAGGCUCUGAGGCGUCUACUCCUCAUCCCUGCAUUCCCUGCCUCUUCCCAAGGAGCAGCUCCCCUUCCCGGUGCAGGAGAGGGGAGGGGAGAUGAGGGGCGGUCGGGAGGGGCGGUCGGGAGGGGGGGCCCACACUCAGGCCAAAGGGCCACUGUGGCUUUAAGUGUGCUCCUUGUGUGGCCAGAGCAGCCAUCGCGCUGAUGCAAAGUGACAGGGACAGAUGUGACAUAUCGGUUCCGACACACUUCCAUACCACCAGUCACAGGCUCGGGGUGACUCACAUCCCCCUGCUCUGGUCCUGUCCCCCCGCUGCAGGACAACACGACGAUGCUCGAAUGAACCUCGCCAUCGCCCUCACUGCUGCCAGGUAUGGGGCUGCCAUAGCCAAUUACACUGAAGUGGUGCACCUACUGGAGAGGGCAGACCCUCAGACGGGGAAGGAGAGGGUCUGCGGAGCGCACUGCGGGGAUGGGAUCACAGUUUCAAAAGGCUCCCUCAGUCACUGCCACUGAGCUACUCUGUGACACAAAGAGGCAAGAGGGAAAUUAGGGCAGGAAUUUGAUGUCAGAGCCAAAUGUGUUAUCAAUGCCACGGGACCUUUUACAGACGCGCUGCGGAAAAUGGAUGAUCAGAAGAACCCCGACAUCUGUCAGCCCAGUGCUGGGGUGCACAUCGUCAUCCUGGGCUAUUACAGUCCCGUCAGCAUCCUGUCACGUCAUCUUCUUACUGGGAAAGGAUGCACAAACACACCCACACACAGCGAAACCAUCCCCGUGGAGGAGGACAUCAACUUCCACUACCCAACUACUUCAGCCAGGACAUAGAAAGUGGUCCAACAUCUGGCCUCUACCUACAGAGUGGUCAGCAGGGCUCAUAUGACCUAAGAAAAUUUGGCCGAGCCUUGUCUUGAUCCUGACCAAAGCAAUGAGAAAUACAAGUUUUGUCCGGCUAGCAUCCUGUGUUGGACGGCUACUUGAAGCCCUGUGCCAUGAGACGAGCUCAGACGGAUGGAUUUCAACACUAAUCCGUUUGAUGUGGAUGCGAGAUCUCAUCGAGCUGCUGCGAGGCACUUGAGGCAGCCUGAGCCGCCGAGUACAAUAAGAAACAAGACAGAGGUAGCGCAUGCUGGUAUCAUCAGGUCAGGAGAUAGUGAGGAUGUUGAGCAAUAGACACAUUGUUGGACCCCUGCGGCAGCUGUCAGUUUGAGUGAACUGCAACCUUGAGCGGACAGAAGAAUAAGUUGGACCCUGUGUGGAUGACAAAUUCCUGGGCUAGUUUGGAAGCAGGAGUGCUGCAGGGGAAGGCAGUGGCUGGUCUGCGAUGGGGGGCCAACCAGCAGAAAACUCAUUUGGAAUUCAGCACUGCAACAUUGCCAUCUUUUGGCCAGACUCUGUAAAAUCCCAGGGAUACUCCAUCUCCAAACCCAUACUGAAGUCUUGAGGCAGCCUGACACAAAGCGUGUUUGGUCCUCCUGUCAUUGAGAAUGAAGCUCCAGUGCCUAAUUAAAUGUAUUUAGCAUCAUAAAUAUUCCAGGGGGACAGGUUGACACAAUGAAUUAAUGUCUCGCCUCAAUACCAGAGCCUCUCUAUUGGCUGUGGAGAGAAAGUUAGCCCGAUGCCAGAGCUCUAUGAGGAGUAUAGGAGCCGAGACAGGCGGGAUCAAACAGUAGAAUUGAAGUCGGUGAAUCCAGCCCCAUGGAGGAGGACGGAGACAUAAAAGACAGGCUAAGGAGAAGACAAGGCCUCAGCUGUGCUCCGCACUGAUCUACACACUGCGAUUACCUGGAGCAGAGACCGAAUGUAAAGGCCUUGGGCUGUCUUUGAUAUUUCCAUCUUUCGUUUGUCUGCUGUGACCUGGACUACAUCUAACAGACCUAGACUGGAGGUCAGUAGGAAUCAAGGGAGAGGAGAGGAGAAAUUAAAAUUAGAAAAGGGGCACAGUUGAAGAUUUCCACUUCUUUUUUUACCCCAGACGCUGACACUUGAUAUGGCCAAGCACAUAUAGGGUUUUCCUUUCCCUCCUUAUUUAACUCGCACACACCAACACUCAUUAUAGUUACCUUUUUGUCUAGUAUUUGAUGCCAUUACCACUCCCACCCCAGCAAUAAGAGAACCAACUUUAUUCUGUCAGGGUGCUUAUUAAAAGUUUACAUAUUCACACCUCUGUGACCCUUAAUGAGGAUGAAGGGAGACUUGUCCUCACUUUAUGACAAACUAUAGGUAAUAAGGUGUAGAUGAAUUAAACAAGCUGCCCUAUAGUCUGUGCACAAUUACUCAAGAAGCAAAUGAGAAAUUGGAUAUCAAGUCUAGUAUAUGUCUGGUAAGCAUACAUACAGAAUAAGGCUGUCUUUUGUCUUGGCUGGCAUGCAUUUCUAAAGUCACGUGCUGUAACGGACAGUGCCUAUAGACUUUCAGACGGGGGUAGUGGCUAAACGGUGUCCUUCAGUUAACAAGGUAUCAAGGUCCAACCUGAUCUCACGAGAAGGAAUAUAAAUUCUAUAUAAUAUAUUUUUCCGCCACGCAACAAAACCAUGAUAACAUCCACACUUUUUGUUGUUUAGGCAACAAAACCACUUAGUUAGGUUUAGGAAAAACAUCAUGGUUGGGCUUAAAAUGACUACGUACACUAAGUAAAAUAUGUACAGAAACAAUGUAACAUGAGAACAGAAAAGAUGUCACUAACGUAACGUAACACUUUGGGACACGAACACUGGAUUCCUGGUUGAAAGUCCUGCUUGUUCUCAUAUUAUUGCAUAAAAAGGGUGACUAAGUGAAUGUUAAGACAUUAGUAUCUUGAUUCAGACUGAAAUGUAGACAAACAGGUAGAUGAAAAGAUCUAGAUAGAUAUGAUAAUUGUAUAUUUGAAUGGUAUUUAAUUAAUGGGUUAAUUUGUUUGAUGGAACAGAUGCAGGAUUAUAAUAAAUUAAAGAAAUCCACUGUAUAUAAUAAUAAGAGAAAAAAGUUACUUGAUGGAUCAAGUCCGGCUACUGCUUGUGAAUUUAACUGCAUUUUAAAUCUGCCAUAGCUUUCAUAGACAGCUCACAACCGUUUCUCAAAACAUGUUUUUGUGUGUAGAGUAAUACAGCCGAGCUCAAAUUUCUCUCGUCCCUUCAAGCGCAAAAUACAAAAGGCCUAGGCUGCCACCACCUGAUUCAAUCAAGUGUGUUACAUUGUAUACCCAUGGGCAACAAGGCAACUUGUAUUUUAAUUAAUAAUGUAAUACCCUGGUCUCAGAGCCUUGACCCCUGGCAGUCCUGCUGCUUUUUUUGUAAAUACUCUCAAGAUCCCAGCAAAGAUGCUGGGAGCAUUUUUCUCCACACUCCAACUCAUGCAACUGGAUUUGAUAAAUAAAGCUUGAAACUAACACUGUAGCGUUUUCAAGCACUAUGUGAGUGAAGAGAAACAUGUUUUUUUAGCAUUAUGUGAUAUCUCGGUAACCAAGUAAAAUAUGACAUUAAUUAGGGAAAGAAUAAUUAGAAGAAGAAACCAAGGAAUGAGCACUAAUACUGGAGAAGGAUGGGGAAGGAGAUUAAAACUGCAAAAUAAAUGUUUUAGAAAAUAAAAAUGUACUGGGAUGAGAAAAUAUCCCAUGUAAGCAGAGUACAUGGUGUGAAUGAAAGUUAAUGUUAAGGGCUAUGAAGACAGAGACAUGGCCGUGGGUGCUAUGUUGUGAGGAAUAACAUGCACAGUGAAGGGUAAACGCACGCUUCUUUGGAGAUCCUGGACCGGAAAGAAGCCUGAGGGAGCUCAAGGGCUUGUGGGAUACGGGCUGUAUUCAACCUUUCUCUGCAGCCACACACACACCACAACAACAGGGAAUGAUGGCACUUUUACAGUAUGCCAUGAGAAGCACUGACUCAUUCGUUCACACAUAACAAACAUGUUAACUAAACAUAUAAAAGCAAAUGACUGACUGACUCACAGGAAGUCAUGGGAAAACGUCAGAAAUGACUGCAGCCAUGUGUUUCGCCAUAGCAUAACAGAUGUGAGACAAUUAAUGUAUUUUCAUGUGCAAAAAAAAAAAAGAAAGAUCAGUUACCAGCCAAUGAUUAUAUCAUUAAUAUAUAUUGUUUAUAUAUAAUUUUAUCAAUGGUUGUUUUAAAAGUAUUCAUAAUUUUUAAACGACAACUGACAGAAUAUCAAACAAGCAAGUAUAAAACAAUUUUCUGAAAUCACAAAUUAAAUUUUUAACAGAACAAACAUUUUAAUUAGCCAACAUGAGCUCAGCCACAAGUAAAUCUAAAGUGAUUAUUCCUGCCCUGAGAGAAAGGCUGUCUCCCUGCGCUCUGUCAAAAGGUCAAUUAUGGCCCCAAACCGGCAUGCAGUGACAGUGACCUGGAAGCGCUACUGAUGACCCCACAUCCAGGGGCCCAAAAGAGUUGAUCAUCUAACAUGCAGGCUGCCCGGAGCCAUGGAAAUCUGACAUUUGUCCUUAUUCAAAUGAACACAAACAAUAUGCAUCUCAUGCCUCUCCCUAACCUGUGCCAAAUCUAAGGCAUAGGGACCAGCAGUCUUAAUGCAUUGUCCUCCGAUCCAAGUCCAUGCCCUUCCCUGUGAACACAGCCACACAGCAAUCACACACUGAGCCUGCAGUAAGAGCAGACUGCAAGAAGGCGCCAUCUUCACCAGCAGCUACACUAACACGGGUUAUUAUUGUUCUGGUCUACAGUACUGGGGUCACAAAAUGGACUGGGGUCAUACAGUAAAGGAAAUGUUAAGGGUGAGAACAAUUCAAGUUAUACGUACUGCAAAAAAAAACAAACAUUUUUCAUGUUGAUGCUGGCUGUCAUUGAAGGAUCUAAAAUCUAAAUCCUUAAAGAGGCUACAAUCAAUUGUUAAUAACAAUAGAUCAAAUGACUGAAUGUGAAAGGGGUUGUUCAUAGUGAUGAACCCACAAAGAAUUAACACCUGACUCGGCAGGUGCCCUCAGUUUGACUGAGCUUUAUUGCGUCUUUGAGCUCAUUGUUUUGGUUUUCCGACCUGCAGCUUCACUGUUUUGGUUCAGUCCAACCCCGUCUCAUAAUAAUUAUGUUCCCAUACAACUAAACUACAUUGUC